RNAcentral lists this ribosomal RNA (484 nucleotides) under uncultured bacterium. Its description in RNAcentral is "partial 16S ribosomal RNA". It matches the Rfam family "Bacterial small subunit ribosomal RNA", at positions 29 to 507 of the family's 1533-position model. The record is from RNAcentral.
AUUGAACGCUGGCGGCAUGCUUUACACAUGCAAGUCGAACGGCAGCGCGGGCUUCGGCCUGGCGGCGAGUGGCGAACGGGUGAGUAAUACAUCUGAACGUGCCCAGUAGUGGGGGAUAGCUCGGCGAAAGCCGGAUUAAUACCGCAUACGACCUGAGGGUGAAAGCGGGGGAUCUUCGGACCUCGCGCUCUUGGAGCGGCCGAUGGCAGAUUAGCUAGUUGGUGGGGUAAAGGCCUACCAAGGCGACGAUCUGUAGCUGGUCUGAGAGGACGACCAGCCACACUGGGACUGAGACACGGCCCAGACUCCUACGGGAGGCAGCAGUGGGGAAUUUUGGACAAUGGGCGAAAGCCUGAUCCAGCAAUGCCGCGUGUGUGAUGAAGGCCUUCGGGUUGUAAAGCACUUUUGGCGGGAACGAAAAGGACUGUGCCAAUACCACGGUUCGAUGACGGUACCCGCAGAAUAAGCACCGGCUAACUACGUG